UACGGAGGGGGCUAGCGUUGUUCGGAAUUACUGGGCGUAAAGCGCACGUAGGCGGCUUUGUAAGUUAGAGGUGAAAGCCCAGGGCUCAACCCUGGAAUUGCCUUUAAGACUGCAUCGCUAGAAUUGUGGAGAGGUAAGUGGAAUUCCGAGUGUAGAGGUGAAAUUCGUAGAUAUUCGGAAGAACACCAGUGGCGAAGGCGGCCACCUGGCUCGGUACUGACGCUCAGGUUCGAAAGCGUGGGGAGCAAACAGG
RNAcentral lists this ribosomal RNA (253 nucleotides) under uncultured bacterium. RNAcentral describes it as "partial 16S ribosomal RNA". It matches the Rfam family "Bacterial small subunit ribosomal RNA", at positions 524 to 776 of the family's 1533-position model. The record is from RNAcentral.